This 2905-nucleotide ribosomal RNA is filed under the name Candidatus Micrarchaeota archaeon CG1_02_47_40. RNAcentral's name for it is "bacterial LSU rRNA". It matches the Rfam family "Archaeal large subunit ribosomal RNA", at positions 16 to 2528 of the family's 2987-position model. The record is from RNAcentral. Lineage: Archaea; Nanobdellati; Microcaldota. RNAcentral also lists the same sequence under 1 other name.
UUACUGCCGGGCAGUGGAUAGCUUGGCUUGGGCAAAAUGCGGAUCGUGGCAAGCUGCGAAAUGCUCGGGGUAGGCGCAGGCAGCCUGUAAUCCCGAGGUAAUCCGUUUAAUACGCGGGGAAUCGAAACAUCCUAUUACCCGCAGGAAGAGAGAACAAUUGUGAUUUGGUAAGUAAGGGCGACUGAAAGCCAAAAAGGGCAACCUGAAUACCCAACUGUAAGGUUGGGAAGAUGUGGGGCCGCCAACAACGCAAGUUGUUGGGCUGUGCUCGCAAGAGCACUUAAGUAACAUCCGCCGCACUAGGGGAAGCUCCUGAAAAGGGGCGCCAAAGAGGGUGAAAGCCCCGUACCCGAAAAGCAGGCGGAGAAAGGCACAAAGAGUAGCGUCCAUUGAGUAUUGGACGCAAAUAUGGCGGUAUCGAUCGCCAACCCUAAACAUACCCCAAGACCGAUAGCGAAGAAGUAGCGCGAGCGAAAGCUGAAAAGGACCCCGAAAGGGGUGUUAAAAGAACUUGAAACUGUCCGGCUACAGUUUGAUGCGGCAUGAAAGCGUUAAUAUCUCCCGAAGCUACCGACCGAAAGGAAGGGUGCGAGGGGGAUUCAGCGGUGUCGCAUCCUCCUUCUAUAAGCAAGGGCCAGGGAGUUUCUACCUGCGGCAAGGCGAGAGCCGGAGCGAAAGCGAGUGCGAAAGCGCGAAACAGUCGUUGGUAGCAGACCCGAAGCUGAUGUGAGCUAUACGUGGAUAGGGCGAAGCCGGCCUGACGGCCGGUGGAGGCCCGCAACCAGUGCUAGUAUAUUCUGCUUGGGUGAUCUACGUAUAGGGGUGAUAGUCCAGUCGAACUCAGCAAUAGCGGGCUCCCCCCGAAGUAUAUCUCAGUAUAGCGCCGCGGGAGUUGUUGCGCAAGGUAGAGCACUGAUCGGAGAGUACGGGCCCGAGAGGGCUCACUUUCUUGUCAAACUCCGAAUUUGCGCAAAACGAAGAACGCGGCAGUAGGCUUCUCUCGGGUAAGCCGAGAGGACUUUACGGGAACAACCGGUACCGCGGUUAAGGUCCCAAAAUUCUGGUUAAGUGUGACUCUCAAGGGGUCUCCAGUCUAAGACAGCUGGAAGGUAGGCUUAGAAGCAGCCAUCCUUCAAACAACGCGUAAUAGCGGACCAGCCGAGAUUGCGGACCCCGAAGAUGCUCGGGGCUAAAUCAGAUACCGAUACCGCGGAAUGGCGCACUGUUAGGUGCGCGCAAUUUGGUAGGGGGGCGAACCGGUCGGGCAGAAGCGCGGGUGUGAACUCGCGUGGACCGGCCGGCUAUGAAAAUCCUGGUAUUAGUAGCAGCAUAUCCAGGCGAGAAUCCUGGACGCCGAAAGUACACGGUUUCCUUGGCCAUGUUCUUCAGCCAAGGGUAAGGCGAUCCUAAGCACGAGGCUAAUUGCCAACUGUGCAAAAGGGAAACCGGUUAAAAUUCCGGUCCCGGAUAGAUAGGCGCGGCAACGCAUGAUGCGUUCCUGACGUUUUGGGGUAGGUGCAGUGGAGGAGACUCCAUUUAAGCAAGAUAAGCCUUCGGAGACUCAUUGUGAGGAGAAGAAGGCUAAAUUUGCGAGCGGCCGCACGGUUGCGCCAAGCCCCGGAGCCCUUGAAAAGGGAACGCGUAACGAUUCUAUCCGACCGUACCUAGAACCAGUACAGGUGAUACUGGCAGAAAAAGCCAAGGCGUGGCAGGACAACUCUCGUAAGGGAACUUGGCAAGUUAGUGGCGUAACUUCGGGAUAAGCCAUGCCUGCGGGCCUUUGCGGGCCUGCAGGUCUCAGUAACAAGGGGAGACCGACUGUUUACCAAAAACACAGGUCAUCGCAGAGCCGAAAGGCUAAGUACGAUGGCCGAUGCCUGCUCACUACUGGUACGUUAAACUCCGGUUCAACGGAGCAAAGCGCCAGCAAAGAGCGGGGGUAAUCGUCAGUUCCAAUUUUAAACAUCAAAUGAGCUUGGUUCCAUAUGCAGAAGUUUGAGGAGUAUUUUAUAGGCGCACUUCAAGAUGCGUACGUCGAUGAAAAGCGCAAUGAGAUUCAGCUGUACCAAAAGAAUAAGGAAUGGCUCGAUUUUAUUAAUGCCAAUCUUAAGAAAGAUUACGGCAUUACUGGAAAGAUUUUCAAAAGAGACGUUUACUUGCUUAGAAAAAGAAGCAAAGCGUUUGUUUUGAAAAUUAAAGAGGCAAAAACUAGAAUGAAUUCUUUUGGCGCGGAUUUCGUCGCAGGGCUUUUUGAUUCGGAAGGUUCUGUUUACCUUUCAACAAAAUCAAAAAUACCCAUCAUUGAUGUAACGCAAUCCGAAAAAGGAUUGGAAUAUCUUAAGUGUGCGCAAAAAAUUCUUAUGGAGAAUGGGAUUGAUUCGAAACUGAAUGGCCCAUAUAAACAUAAGCAUGGAAAACUCCUGCAAUAUCAUCUGCGCAUAUAUGGAAAUAAAAAAUGUGGGAUAUUUUUUAGGUUAAUUCCCAUUUAUUAUAAGAAUAAGUUUGAGAAAUGCUCAUUUUGAACUGACGACCCCACACUCUGACCCUCUUAUUUGGCUCUUGCAAGAAAUUGCCGGAGCUGAUGUGAGAUAGGUAGCGUAAUACCUCGCCGCUUAAUUGGUGGCUUGCAUGAAUGGCAUAACGCGUCUCCCACUGUCCCUACGAGGGACCUGGUGAACCUACUACUCUGUGAGUAUGCAGAGGACUUCUAGGGGGAAACGAAGACCCCGUGGAGUUGGAAACUACUCUCUACCACCGGAAAACUACCGUCUCGGGAGGUUUAUAAACAAGGAGAAACGAAAGGGAAAACAUAUGUUUGAACUUUCUCCCUUGCUUGCCUACGAGACAGGUGUCCAUCUUGGUGACGGAAACUUGACGUACAAUAAAAAAUGGAACCUUUACAGAA